AAUCCAUAGGUUAAUGAGGCGAACCGGGGGAACUGAAACAUCUAAGUACCCCGAGGAAAAGAAAUCAACCGAGAUUCCCCCAGUAGCGGCGAGCGAACGGGGAGGAGCCCAGAGCCUGAAUCAGCAUGUGUGUUAGUGGAAGCGUCUGGAAAGGCGCGCGAUACAGGGUGACAGCCCCGUACACAAAAGCGCAUGUGCUGUGAGCUCGAUGAGUAGGGCGGGACACGUGGUAUCCUGUCUGAAUAUGGGGGGACCAUCCUCCAAGGCUAAAUACUCCUGACUGACCGAUAGUGAACCAGUACCGUGAGGGAAAGGCGAAAAGAACCCCGGCGAGGGGAGUGAAAAAGAACCUGAAACCGUGUACGUACAAGCAGUGGGAGCACCCUUUGGGUGUGACUGCGUACCUUUUGUAUAAUGGGUCAGCGACUUAUAUUCUGUAGCAAGGUUAACCGAAUAGGGGAGCCGGAGGGAAACCGAGUCUUAACCGGGCGUUAAGUUGCAGGGUAUAGACCCGAAACCCGGUGAUCUAGCCAUGGGCAGGUUGAAGGUUGGGUAACACUAACUGGAGGACCGAACCGACUAAUGUUGAAAAAUUAGCGGAUGACCUGUGGCUGGGGGUGAAAGGCCAAUCAAACCGGGAGAUAGCUGGUUCUCCCCGAAAGCUAUUUAGGUAGCGCCUCGUGAAUUCAUCUCCGGGGGUAGAGCACUGUUUCGGCUAGGGGGCCAUCCCGGCUUACCAACCCGAUGCAAACUGCGAAUACCGGAGAAUGUUAUCACGGGAGACACACGGCGGGUGCUAACGUCCGUCGUGAAGAGGGAAACAACCCAGACCGCCAGCUAAGGUCCCAAAGUCAUGGUUAAGUGGGAAACGAUGUGGGAAGGCCCAGACAGCCAGGAUGUUGGCUUAGAAGCAGCCAUCAUUUAAAGAAAGCGUAAUAGCUCACUGGUCGAGUCGGCCUGCGCGGAAGAUGUAACGGGGCUAAACCAUGCACCGAAGCUGCGGCAGCGACACUGUGUGUUGUUGGGUAG
This 1029-nucleotide ribosomal RNA is filed under the name Salmonella enterica subsp. enterica serovar Enteritidis. RNAcentral describes it as "partial 23S ribosomal RNA". It matches the Rfam family "Bacterial large subunit ribosomal RNA", at positions 161 to 1231 of the family's 2925-position model. Lineage: Bacteria; Pseudomonadati; Pseudomonadota; Gammaproteobacteria; Enterobacterales; Enterobacteriaceae. The record is from RNAcentral.